This 543-nucleotide ribosomal RNA is filed under the name Penicillium chrysogenum. RNAcentral's name for it is "eukaryotic LSU rRNA". The stretch from base 164 to 316 matches the Rfam family "5.8S ribosomal RNA". The record is from RNAcentral. Lineage: Eukaryota; Fungi; Ascomycota; Eurotiomycetes; Eurotiales; Aspergillaceae.
AAGGCUUGGUCACCUCCCACCCGUGUUUAUUUUACCUUGUUGCUUCGGCGGGCCCGCCUUAACUGGCCGCCGGGGGGCUUACGCCCCCGGGCCCGCGCCCGCCGAAGACACCCUCGAACUCUGUCUGAAGAUUGUAGUCUGAGUGAAAAUAUAAAUUAUUUAAAACUUUCAACAACGGAUCUCUUGGUUCCGGCAUCGAUGAAGAACGCAGCGAAAUGCGAUACGUAAUGUGAAUUGCAAAUUCAGUGAAUCAUCGAGUCUUUGAACGCACAUUGCGCCCCCUGGUAUUCCGGGGGGCAUGCCUGUCCGAGCGUCAUUGCUGCCCUCAAGCACGGCUUGUGUGUUGGGCCCCGUCCUCCGAUCCCGGGGGACGGGCCCGAAAGGCAGCGGCGGCACCGCGUCCGGUCCUCGAGCGUAUGGGGCUUUGUCACCCGCUCUGUAGGCCCGGCCGGCGCUUGCCGAUCAACCCAAAUUUUUAUCCAGGUUGACCUCGGAUCAGGUAGGGAUACCCGCUGAACUUAAGCAUAUCAAAAGCCGGAGGAA